This 651-nucleotide long non-coding RNA is filed under the name Felis catus (domestic cat). RNAcentral describes it as "lncRNA (ENSFCAG00000047305.1)". Lineage: Eukaryota; Metazoa; Chordata; Mammalia; Carnivora; Felidae. The record is from RNAcentral.
GUGGAGACUGAAGGUCUCAAGAGUGAGUGUCACAGUGGGCAAAGGGGUAUCUGAGUCACCACCAGGAAGUAGCCUCAGAAGUCAGGUAACAUCGCUUCUGCAUACUCUCUUGAUUGAAAUAGUCACAAAAAUGUACCUAUGCUCAAGAGAAGGGACAUUAGACCCUACCUCUUUUGGAAUAGUGAGAAGAUUCUAGAAGAGCAUGUGAAAUGGGAGAUGUUGUCGUAAUCAUCUUUGGAAUAUGCGGUCUGCCUCCAGAGGGUGCAUGUAUGGGGUAGGUGUGAAGGACGAGGACGGAAAGCCUGGGUCCAAUGGGUGGUGGUGGAGUAUCUUCUCUUGGAAAAACAAAUCAACUGUGUUAACAUCAACAAGGAAGUCUUCUCUGGAAUGAAGCUGUAUCUGUAGGAUUUGAUCAAGAUGUUCCAACUUGGUGACACUGAUGUGACCAAGGAUCUAAGCUGACAUUUGAAAGGCCCCUGGGGCCUCAUGAAGCAAUGAAGUCAACUUUGGGCUGUGUUAAGGGUCCAGGGCAGUACAGCUCUGCACUUGGCCUUGGCUCUUGGGCACUCACAGAUGGUCAACACCCAGUGGUGAUGAGCCUGUGAAAUGGAGCCGGGUGAGGAGACCACUGAUGCCAUUUUUAUUGGGUUU